Helianthus annuus (common sunflower) is the source of this 628-nucleotide long non-coding RNA. RefSeq lists it as uncharacterized. NCBI's taxonomy places the organism in Eukaryota, Viridiplantae, Streptophyta, Magnoliopsida, Asterales, Asteraceae. The record is from RefSeq and is a predicted model, not a curated record. The transcript is spliced from 4 exons.
CCUCUCGUUCUUUUCCUUUCCCGUGGCAAUGGCAGAACCAAGAGAGUGGAUGUGAAUGCUCUAAAUACUUCCCCACUCAGAUGCUUUUCACCGCUCAAACCCAAUCGGCAUCGCUCUUUCUUCGUAAUUUUUGGUUGAGUUAAUUGCACGUUUGAUCAAAUGGUUCGUACAUUCUUUCGCAAUUUGUUGAGAUACCUAUCUUCAGAAGAUGAUAGCGAUGAUGAUCUUGAUGAGGAUACAACAAGGAGUGAAAGAGAUCCCCGAAUUGUUUAUCGUUGGAAGGCCAGAUGUGACAAUUGUGGCGUUGGGCAUAUUGUCCUCUAAAGACUGGCAUUUAAGUCCCUUGCAGAGACCCAACAGGAUCAAAUACAAAGUGGAUAUUACUUGAGAAGGGUACCAAGUGCUUUUGGACCGUUGAUUACACUAUUUCAAUGGUGAAGAUUGAGCGGCAAGAUCGUAAUUAACAGUGAAGGUUAAUGUUGAUUUUUUGUUUUAAAUCUAGCUGCAACGUUUUCCUUUUAAAGUUGUCCUGGCCUGACACAUGAACGAACCGUGUGGUUACAAUUGUGCGUCCUAACCAUUACAACGUCACGUCUAAAACCACCUUUAAUUUAACAGAAGCAUCUAC